Molecule: long non-coding RNA, 1019 nt
Filed under: Betta splendens (Siamese fighting fish)
Lineage: Eukaryota; Metazoa; Chordata; Actinopteri; Anabantiformes; Osphronemidae
Description: lncRNA (ENSBSLG00000004236.1)
Source: RNAcentral
AGGAAGUUCAAUAGAACACUUUCUGUGCUAGCAGAGUGUGCACUUCACCAGGAGAACGCGGUGGCAGGACUGACGGAGGCGGUGAAUCGAUUGGCUCAAGGAUCAGCUGGAGAAGCGACGCCGACCCAGGUCUCCGCACCCGCGGCAGCGAGCUUGACUGCAGCGAUUCCCCUGCCUGCCACUCCGGCUCCAGAUCUGGCGGCGGAGGCCGGUUGGGACGCUACCAGUGAUGUAUUUAUUCGCGGUCUCUCCAGCCGCGUAAAAGACUGCCUAGCGGCAAGGGAUCUACCCAGUGACUUGAACGCGCUGAUCGCGCUAGUAAUUCAAAUUGAUCGCAGGCUGGGAAAAAAACGAGCGGGAGCAUCAAAGGGAGGAGAGAAUGAGAGAGGAUCCCCGACUCAGGACCGCGAGUCCCAGGAGGGGACAACGGGGGUUUGGCGGCCAGUUCACUCCGCGCAACCCGGAAGUAGGACAGACACCGGAGGAGCCGAUGCAGAUCGGGCACGCACGACUCACGGAGGAGGAGAGGCGACGACGGCGCUCCCAUCGGCUCUGCAUGUACUGUGGGCAGGCGGGACACUUUGCAGUGAGUUGUCCACUAAAAGAGCAGGCUCAUCGCUAGCGUGGAGGGUAGCGGUGAGCCGAACGGUGCUUGGCAGUGCCUUCACUCGUUCUUUACCCACAGUAACCUUAGUCUCCAGAACCCGUUCAGUCCAGCAGGCGGUGCUGAUUGACUCCGGCACUGAUGCCAGUCUGAUGGACGCAGGGCCGGUGGAACGUAUGGGCAUCGCUUUUCUGCCGUUGGCAUCACCAGUGGAGACGGCGGCGCUGGAUGGACGGCGACUCUGGAGGGUCACGCACCAUACUGAACUGGUAACCAUGACCUUCGCAGAUGCACAUACAGAAAGGAUCACAUUCCUUGUGGUGGAGUCUUGUUACUAUCCUGUAGUGUUAGGACACACAUGGUGAAGAUUACAUAACCCGACGUUAGACUGUAGGAGUGGAGAGGUGAACUGGUG